GAUGAACGCUGGCGGCGUGCUUAACACAUGCAAGUCGAACGGAAAGGCCCAAGCUUGCUUGGGUACUCGAGUGGCGGACGGGUGAGUAACACGUGGGUGAUCUGCCCUGCACUUCGGGAUAAGCCUGGGAAACUGGGUCUAAUACCGGAUAGGACGAUGGUUUGGAUGCCAUUGUGGAAAGUUUUUUCGGUGUGGGAUGAGCUCGCGGCCUAUCAGCUUGUUGGUGGGGUAAUGGCCUACCAAGGCGUCGACGGGUAGCCGGCCUGAGAGGGUGUACGGCCACAUUGGGACUGAGAUACGGCCCAGACUCCUACGGGAGGCAGCAGUGGGGAAUAUUGCACAAUGGGCGCAAGCCUGAUGCAGCGACGCCGCGUGGGGGAUGACGGCCUUCGGGUUGUAAACUCCUUUCGCUAGGGACGAAGCGUUUUUGUGACGGUACCUGGAGAAGAAGCACCGGCUAACUACGUG
RNAcentral lists this ribosomal RNA (468 nucleotides) under uncultured bacterium. RNAcentral describes it as "partial 16S ribosomal RNA". It matches the Rfam family "Bacterial small subunit ribosomal RNA", at positions 28 to 507 of the family's 1533-position model. The record is from RNAcentral.